RNAcentral lists this ribosomal RNA (497 nucleotides) under uncultured bacterium. Its description in RNAcentral is "partial 16S ribosomal RNA". It matches the Rfam family "Bacterial small subunit ribosomal RNA", at positions 28 to 507 of the family's 1533-position model. The record is from RNAcentral.
GAUGAACGCUGGCGGCGUGCCUAAUACAUGCCAGUCGAGCGAACGGACGAGAAGCUUGCUUCUCUGAUGUUAGCGGCGGACGGGUGAGUAACACGUGGAUAACCUACCCAUAAGACUGGGAUAACUUCGGGAAACCGUAGCUAAUACCGGAUAAUAUUUUGAACCGCAUGGUUCAAAAGUGAAAGACGGUCUUGCUGUCACUUAUAGAUGGAUCCGCGCUGCAUUAGCUAGUUGGUAAGGUAACGGCUUACCAAGGCAACGAUGCAUAGCCGACCUGAGAGGGUGAUCGGCCACACUGGAACUGAGACACGGUCCAGACUCCUACGGGAGGCAGCAGUAGGGAAUCUUCCGCAAUGGGCGAAAGCCUGACGGAGCAACGCCGCGUGAGUGAUGAAGGUCUUCGGAUCGUAAAACUCUGUUAUUAGGGAAGAACAUAUGUGUAAGUAACUGUGCACAUCUUGACGGUACCUAAUCAGAAAGCCACGGCUAACUACGUG